RNAcentral lists this non-coding RNA (100 nucleotides) under Prevotella bivia. RNAcentral describes it as "TPP sequence". It matches the Rfam family "TPP riboswitch aptamer (THI element)". Rfam says of the family: Vitamin B(1) in its active form thiamin pyrophosphate (TPP) is an essential coenzyme that is synthesised by coupling of pyrimidine and thiazole moieties in bacteria. The previously detected thiamin-regulatory element, thi box was extended, resulting in a new, highly conserved RNA secondary structure, the THI element, which is widely distributed in eubacteria and also occurs in some archaea. Analysis of operon structures identified a large number of new candidate thiamin-regulated genes, mostly transporters, in various prokaryotic organisms. The record is from RNAcentral. RNAcentral also lists the same sequence under 1 other name. Lineage: Bacteria; Pseudomonadati; Bacteroidota; Bacteroidia; Bacteroidales; Prevotellaceae.
UAACCAAACGUGGGGUGCCAUUCCGUUGAAUGAGCUGAGAUUAGACCCGUAUAACCUGAUGCAGGUAAUGCUGCCGUAGGAAGUGCUAACGAGUAAUAAU